CUGGCUGUAAACGAUGGAUACUAGGCGUUGAGAGUAUCGACCCUCUCAGUGUCGUAGCUAACGCGUUAAGUAUCCCGCCUGGGGAGUACGCGCGCAAGCGUGAAACUCAAAGUAAUUGACGGGGGCCCGCACAAGCGGUGGAGUAUGUGGUUUAAUUCGAUGCAACGCGAAGAACCUUACCAGGGCUUGACAUGUCCGGAACCCUGCCCAAAGGCGGGGGUGCCUACGGGAACCGGAACACAGGUGGUGC
RNAcentral lists this ribosomal RNA (250 nucleotides) under uncultured Chroococcidiopsis sp. RNAcentral's name for it is "partial 16S ribosomal RNA". It matches the Rfam family "Bacterial small subunit ribosomal RNA", at positions 796 to 1044 of the family's 1533-position model. The record is from RNAcentral. Lineage: Bacteria; Bacillati; Cyanobacteriota; Cyanophyceae; Chroococcidiopsidales; Chroococcidiopsidaceae.